GACGAACGCUGGCGGCGUGCUUAACACAUGCAAGUCGAACGGAAAGGCCUGCUUUCCCUUGUGGAUUGCGGGUACUCGAGUGGCGAACGGGUGAGUAACACGUGAGUGAUCUGCCCCCAACUUGGGGAUAAGCCUGGGAAACUGGGUCUAAUUCCCGAUAGGACUGCAGGGUGGUGCCUGUGGUGGAAAACGAUUUUCUAGUGGUUGGGGAUGAGCUCGCGGCCUAUCAGCUUGUUGGUGGGGUAAUGGCCUACCAAGGCGGCGACGGGUAGCCGGCCUGAGAGGGUGGACGGCCGCAUUGGGAGUGGGAUACGGCCCAGACUCCUACGGGAGGCAGCAGUGGGGAAUAUUGCACAAUGGGCGGAAGCCUGAUGCAGCGACGCCGCGUGGGGGAUGACGGCCUUCGGGUUGUAAACUCCUUUCGACCGCGAGGAAGCCACCUGGUUGGAAGGGUGGUGACGGUAGUGGUAGAAGAAGCACCGGCUAACUACGUG
Molecule: ribosomal RNA, 494 nt
Filed under: uncultured bacterium
Lineage: Bacteria
Description: partial 16S ribosomal RNA
Rfam family: Bacterial small subunit ribosomal RNA
Source: RNAcentral